Felis catus (domestic cat) is the source of this 781-nucleotide long non-coding RNA. RefSeq lists it as uncharacterized. Lineage: Eukaryota; Metazoa; Chordata; Mammalia; Carnivora; Felidae. The record is from RefSeq and is a predicted model, not a curated record. The transcript is spliced from 2 exons.
UCCGAAGCAGGCUCCAGGCUCUGAGCCAUCAGCACAGAGCCUGACGCGGGGCUCGAACCCUCAAACUGUGAGAUCGUGACCUGCGCCGAAGUCGGACGCUCAACCGACUGAGCCACGGAGGCGCCCCUCGGCCUCCCCAUUUAAACUGCAAUCUGCCCCCUCCCCUGCUACUCUCCUUCCUGCACAGCACUUAUCACCCUCCCCUACGUGAAGUAACGGACCCGGGAUCGUGUGAGCAGACUGCUGUUGGUCUCCCCUGCUAGGAUUUAGCCUCCGCAGGAGCAGAAGCCUUUGUUCUGUUCGCCAAUGACCUCAAUAUUUGAGAACAGACGAGUGCACCUUUCUUAGCCCGCUCCUCGGCCCACUGCAGCUCCCCCUGUACGGCGUGCAGCUUCUGACACAGCUCCUGCCUGCUGUCCUGUGCCUCCCGCCAGUCAUGCUCCAGGAUGUCCAGGAGGAUGCGCUCCGAGCCCGGGGCCCCCAGCCUGCCGGCCUCCUGAGGGUCAUGGUUCAGAGGCCGCCUCAAGCUCCGGCCCAGGGCCCACCUUGACUGUGGCAGGAGGGAGGGGGACACACAGCCCUCGCCCCCGCCCCCUCAGGCCCGCCUCACUAGCUCUGCCACCGUGGCCACGGGCCUUGACCUCUCUGGACCUCCCUUUCCCAGUCUGUGGAGGAGGUGUGGCCCACAGCCCCGCACCCUCGAGGGAACAUCUGGGGUGGAAAUGAAGUGAAUGAGGACGUGCCUGCACAAGUUGGCCCGGAUCUUAUUCCUAAACAAGAA